This 496-nucleotide unclassified non-coding RNA is filed under the name Hevea brasiliensis (rubber tree). The record is from RNAcentral. Lineage: Eukaryota; Viridiplantae; Streptophyta; Magnoliopsida; Malpighiales; Euphorbiaceae.
AAGUUCUACAUGCACUCUUAGAUCUUUACAAGGUACAAUAAGAACUAGGAAGCAACUCCGAGGGUCUAUUUCUUUUGAUAUCGAUCUGUGAUGGUAUGAUUUAAAACCAGCAACAGCAAGUAUCCAGCAAAUUUUCCACUCCCCAGAUUGAAAAGAAAGAAUGCCACAAUGUGGCCAAUAGCUUUCUUUUUCCAUUUCCAAUCCAUGAUCAUAGGCAAGUGCUUGCAGCACUCAAGAGAAAUCAACAACAUCACUUGACAUUGGCAUAAUUUAACAUUCAAAAUAAUAUUCACGUUGCAGAACAACUACUCAUCAAUGGCACUCUACAAACAGAACCAAUUUUACAUCAAGAAAAAGCCUAUCAAAACUAUAGGCAUAAACCAAACUAAUUACCUCAUCAAUAAAUCAGUAACUUAAUUACUCCAUUGAUGUAGCAAAACAACACUUACUACUUGACUAUUUAACACCACAAAAUGAAACCAUAUUAAGACUCCCA